Onychomys torridus (southern grasshopper mouse) is the source of this 447-nucleotide long non-coding RNA. RefSeq lists it as uncharacterized. NCBI's taxonomy places the organism in Eukaryota, Metazoa, Chordata, Mammalia, Rodentia, Cricetidae. The transcript has 2 exons. The record is from RefSeq and is a predicted model, not a curated record.
UGCAUGGGAUUUUCUUUCAGAUCCCUUACCUGAAAAGGGGACACAUUGAGGAUUGUGGUCACUGGACACAGAUAGAGAAACCUGCUGAGGUGAACCAGAUUCUUAUCAAGUGGCUGGAGACUGAAGUCAAGAACUCGUCAUUGACCUCCAAGAUUUAGCCAGUAGCGUGUCCUCUAUUUCCGGACAUGGCCUUAUCCAGAACUAGCAGCAUUGUUCUUUGGUCAGCCAGUGAUUUUCUUGGGAAAGUGAUCAGAUGUGAUGUAAUUUUAGAUCCAGGAUGAAGUGUGUGUGAUUAAUUCUCUGAAGAUGACUGCACCAUCAAAGGAAAGAUCACAGCCCGUCAGGAAGACAUGGGGCAGCCCAAUUGGUAGCUUUGCAGCCAAAUCCAUACCUGUUCUUUUUGAAGCAGCUGAUUUGGGGUCUUCAUUCAAUAAAGCUAACACCUUG